Molecule: long non-coding RNA, 2046 nt
Organism: Girardinichthys multiradiatus
Lineage: Eukaryota; Metazoa; Chordata; Actinopteri; Cyprinodontiformes; Goodeidae
Exons: 3
Source: RefSeq, a predicted model, not a curated record
UACAAACUCCAUAAAUGAGAGUUUAAGGUUGCAUUAGUUGAUAUGUACAAUAUAUUUAUUCAUAUUUGUUUUUAUAUUGUAGUCUAAAUACAUUCAAUCUCAAGUUUUCUAUAUUCAGUAUGUUAAUAAUGUGAAGUUCAAAGACGAUUAGCACAAUGCUUUACGUCUUACAUUCAGAAAAUUUGUUCAUUGACUGUAUUUAUUUUUUUCUGAUUCAGGAAGUCCUUUUAAAAUUACUGAAUCGUUCUUCAUCUUUAUGUUUUAACACAUUUAACCCUUUCAAGGGUAUUAAUUACAUAUUCAUCACAUAAUGUACCUACUAAACUAAAAGAGUUUCAAUCAUGAGCUGUUAUAGUUAUUUUACUUUUCCAGCCUUUGUGCUUCUGCUUCUGGCAGUUUUUUAAUUCACUCUACCAUAUUGAAAAUAUACAAUUUUACAAACUAUGCACCAUUUAUAACUACAUAUUACCCUUAUAAGAUUUGCAAACCAGGGCAUUAUAGUUUUAUUUAGAGUUUACAGUUAUUACAUGUUAUUAGGGAAUUUAGCUAUAGUUCUGGUCUACUUGAUUAAGCUACCUAAAGGCAUUUAAACAGUGCAAUAUGAUUGUGUGGAAGGCUGUCUUCUUUGCAGGCACGCUGGAUGAUUUACCACACCAAACUCCUUGAGCACAUUUUCUCCUUGACAUCAACUGGUGCGCCAAUCAAAUCCUUCACCCUGCCUGGGAUAUUUGUCAUCCAGCUGCUCCUGGUUGGGCAUAAGCCAUUGACUGAAACCAAUGCGUCAAUGGCCACCACACAGACGUGUCCAGGACCUGGGCUACAGCCGUUCCACCACUGGACAAGAGACAACAUUAGGAUCAUAUUAUAACUUGUCCAAACUACCAAAGCAUGAAAAAUCACCAACGGGUUUCGAAAGGCUGGACUGCUGCGUGAUUAAGGGGACGCUCAAGUGAGAGCAUCAAUGAAGAGGCUGGAGUGAGCGACGAGAUCAUGAGGCUCUUCAAUUCGGACACUAAGAUCAGGACUUUGAUGGUUUCAGUGCACAGGAAGAAGAUGAAAAAGGCGAUCAAUGACUUGUGACCUGGUAGGCUGCAGUUAGGAGAUAUUGGAAUGUUGUUCGAGUACUGUUCAGUAAAAAAGCAUUAGCAACUAAAUUUGUGUAUUAUUGAUAACGUAGGUACAUUUAAAGGUAGCCGUGUUACAGGCACUGUUCGAAAAAAAAAAGCAUUUGCAAUAUGCAUUUGUUUAUAUUACCAUACGGAUUAAGUUAAAAGUAAAAAAUUCCUCACGUGUAAUAUCUUUCUGUGUAAAUCAUAUUACAAUGUGGGACACCCAUGGCUUAACAUCCGGUGCGGCCUGUGCAAGUACAACAUCGGUUUUCUUUCUAAAAUUAGAGCAUUCAGCUUUUAAUCAGGUGCGCUCUGUAGUCCGGAAUUUACGGUAAAUCCAGCAGUUGCUGUUGAACAAAGAGUGACUCCAAAUCCUGCUCUUCUUGCUAUGAGUGGACGAACAAUUGUUUUCUAAAAAAAAAAAACAGGCAGAAAACAAUUAAAAAAUAUUGCAUGUUCAUGUUGAGCAGGUUAAAAAAAAAAAAAACCACAAUAAAAGAAUUUUGGUAAUUAAAGAAAUCCAACAAAUUAUUGUGGUCUAUUAAUACUUUAAACCUUGCAUUUUUGGAUUGUAUGGGGAAAAGUUUGGAUGCUACUGGUUUAAAGGAACAAUAAAGGAAAAAAUAUUUUAUUUUUUAUUACAUUUUUUAAAUAAAUUCUCACACAAAGAAAACACUGAAUUAUGUUUUGUUAAACCUAUGUAAAGUAUUAGAUAUUAUAUAUGCCACAACAUCAAUAAAACUUACAAUUUCAUGUUAAUAAAAGCAUCUAGGCCAAACUCCUAGUUUAAAUGGCUUUAAGUAACAGAUGUUCAGAGCGUGUGCCGAUUGUUUUUCCAUGCUGCUGUAGGUUUUAGCUCUAAAACUAUAUAUUCAACUAGUUACUCAGUUACCUCCUCAUACCUCCAACAACUCUCUGAUGAAAGAGGUUUUACAAU